This 504-nucleotide ribosomal RNA is filed under the name uncultured bacterium. RNAcentral's name for it is "partial 16S ribosomal RNA". It matches the Rfam family "Bacterial small subunit ribosomal RNA", at positions 30 to 523 of the family's 1533-position model. The record is from RNAcentral.
AUUGAACGCUGGCGGCAGGCCUAACACAUGCAAGUCGAACGGUAGCACAGAGAGCUUGCUCUCGGGUGACGAGUGGCGGACGGGUGAGUAAUGUCUGGGAAACUGCCUGAUGGAGGGGGAUAACUACUGGAAACGGUAGCUAAUACCGCAUAAUGUCGCAAGACCAAAGAGGGGGACCUUCGGGCCUCUUGCCAUCGGAUGUGCCCAGAUGGGAUUAGCUUGUUGGUGAGGUAAAGGCUCACCAAGGCGACGAUCCCUAGCUGGUCUGAGAGGAUGCCCAGCCGCACUGGAACUGGGACACGGUCCAGACUCCUACGGGAGGCAGCAGUGGGGAAUAUUGCAAAAUGGGCGCAAGCCUGAUGCAGCCAUGCCGCGUGUAUGAAGAAGGCCUUCGGGUUGUAAAGUACUUUCAGCGGGGAGGAAGGCGAUAAGGUUAAUAACCUUGUCGAUUGACGUUACCCGCAGAAGAAGCACCGGCUAACUCCGUGCCAGCAGCCGCCGUAA